GCGCUGGUGUAUGACUAUCAGUUAUUUUCCGUUCUCAAACUCGAAAUCAUCAAGGCAUCAAAACAUGUGGCCCAGGAAUUCCUUCGUGUUCCUUUUUGGAGCUGUGCUUUUAAUCACCAUAGCUAUGACUCAAGCACAGCCUGGUGAGCCAGGUGAUGUUAGUGUUAUCGUAACUAAAAGACCUCCUCCAACUGGAACACCUACGCCCCCACCUAGGAGACCUACACCCCGAACCAGGAGACCUAGACUCCCUCCACUAGAAAUCCUACGCAUUGAACUAGAAGGCGAACUACGCCGCCAACUAGAAGUACUACGCCUUCAACUAUCAAACGAACUAAGACGCCAACUAAGAGCCCUACGUCUCAGCCUAGAACUCCAAAGUAGGGGCUGAUAAGUGUGCUUUACGAAAUCUCAACUGCCCAUCAAGACCACGUAAUAACUUUAAAAUUGGAGAACCUGCCGUUGAAUGCAAAGUUAAAUGAUUGUUAGAGUGUUAACUAAUUUUUGUUAAAGAUGAAAUUUUAGCCACAAAU
Molecule: long non-coding RNA, 533 nt
Organism: Rhagoletis zephyria (snowberry fruit fly)
Lineage: Eukaryota; Metazoa; Arthropoda; Insecta; Diptera; Tephritidae
Source: RefSeq, a predicted model, not a curated record